GAACUGUUUUAAGUUGAAGAACUCCACCAGCACUUGCUAAUAUUGUACCGAUGAGAUGCCAAAAACAAUGUCCGGGCUAUCGUAUUGGAACAGGUGUUUAGUGACUACCUGAUUGGAUCUGGAGAAUAAAUCUUUCGUUAUUGACAUCUACAUAGAUUAUAAUACUAAUAUUGUAACCCAGUCUAAAUCUGUAAUCAUAAAAGAUCGCUGUGGGUACAUUUUAGAAUAAUAAAACUGACAUGGUCAUUAGGCAUUA
Molecule: long non-coding RNA, 256 nt
Organism: Photinus pyralis (common eastern firefly)
Lineage: Eukaryota; Metazoa; Arthropoda; Insecta; Coleoptera; Lampyridae
Exons: 2
Source: RefSeq, a predicted model, not a curated record